This 21-nucleotide microRNA is filed under the name Ananas comosus (pineapple). RNAcentral describes it as "microRNA s0044_c034". Lineage: Eukaryota; Viridiplantae; Streptophyta; Magnoliopsida; Poales; Bromeliaceae. The record is from RNAcentral.
CUAUCCGCCUCUGAAUCUGAA